GACGAACGCUGGCGGCGUGCCUAAUACAUGCAAGUGGGACGCAAGGAAACACACUGUGCUUGCACACCGUGUUUUCUUGAGUCGCGAACGGGUGAGUAACGCGUAGGUAACCUGCCUAUUAGCGGGGGAUAACUAUUGGAAACGAUAGCUAAUACCGCAUAAUAUUAAUUAUUGCAUGAUAAUUGAUUGAAAGAUGCAAGCGCAUCACUAGUAGAUGGACCUGCGUUGUAUUAGCUAGUUGGUAAGGUAAGAGCUUACCAAGGCGACGAUACAUAGCCGACCUGAGAGGGUGAUCGGCCACACUGGGACUGAGACACGGCCCAGACUUCUACGGGAGGCAGCAGUAGGGAAUCUUCGGCAAUGGACGAAAGUCUGACCGAGCAACGCCGCGUGAGUGAAGAAGGUUUUCGGAUCGUAAAGCUCUGUUGUAAGUCAAGAACGUGUGUGAGAGUGGAAA
RNAcentral lists this ribosomal RNA (457 nucleotides) under Streptococcus mutans. Its description in RNAcentral is "bacterial SSU rRNA". It matches the Rfam family "Bacterial small subunit ribosomal RNA", at positions 28 to 464 of the family's 1533-position model. The record is from RNAcentral. Lineage: Bacteria; Bacillati; Bacillota; Bacilli; Lactobacillales; Streptococcaceae.